GUGACAUUGGCCAAUCACAAUGCCACAAUGCUUGUGAAAGAGAGAGAAACACAAACAUUGUGGCAUUGUGAUUGGCCAAUGUCAC
Molecule: microRNA precursor, 85 nt
Organism: Medicago truncatula (barrel medic)
Lineage: Eukaryota; Viridiplantae; Streptophyta; Magnoliopsida; Fabales; Fabaceae
Rfam family: MIR2600 microRNA precursor family
Source: Rfam